AUAAAAUUCUGAAAACUCCUUUGUCUUAUUUAUACUCGUCUUCAAAGUCUACGUACUAUGUGGUACAAGGAUUGAUUUGAGAUUUUGAUAAGGUGAAUACCCGGUCUAUUCAAUGCUAGGCAUAAUGAGUAUAAGGACCUCAAAAAAAUCUCUUUUCGUCAUAUGAACUUUAAGGUGUAUGAAGUUUCAUAUUUGAUUUUUUNNNN
RNAcentral lists this long non-coding RNA (206 nucleotides) under Nicotiana benthamiana. RNAcentral describes it as "long non-coding RNA (NBEN_LNC010697)". The record is from RNAcentral. Lineage: Eukaryota; Viridiplantae; Streptophyta; Magnoliopsida; Solanales; Solanaceae.